ACCCAUCAUUUUUGGCUGGCUUGUGUACAACUCACAGCCCAUACUUGUGAUAAUACAGAUAUGUAUGUUACCUUUGAACGUUUGUGUGUUUUCAUAGAAAGGAAACCAGACACCAAUGAAAACAGAUGGCCCAGGUGAUCCAGCCUCUCAGAAUUCUGCAUCUAGGACAGCUUCAAGGAUGCUGGCUGAGAUGGCCCAGCCUCACAGACUAUUGUAGCCAUGACUGCAAAGCCUUGUGCUUUUGUAUUGCACAGAGACUGGACAGCAAAUGUUAUAGCAAGUUUUCUAAGGAAUUGACCAUUAUUCCAAUAUUCUUGGGUUCACUAAAAAGAUACCUUUGCCCACAGACAACAAGAAGCAAUCUAGACAACACAACACUCACAUUCCCAAGAGGAGAUUUUCCAUCAUCUCCAAAAUUAUGAAAAUUAGAGUAUGCAAGAAAGGGGCCAUAUGUAAAGCAGAAAACUUUUGGGAAGAUACUGUUAGAAUUCUUAGCCACUUCUCCAGCCACAUGACUGAGCAUGUGCUGUCCAGUAGCCAGAUCCAGCCAGAGGAAGUCUGUAGUGGGUAGCUGUUCCAGCUUUGACCUUGAAGCACUGCCCCUAGUCAGGCAGCAGGUAACUGCUACACCUAUCUAUGACCUGCUCCUGGGGCAUGGCCUCUUUGGACCUUUAAGACCUGAAAGGUGUACAUGCUUGCUCUCUUGACUACCUUGUGAUCCUAGAUGCUGGAUCGCAGACCAAGUCAGAGUUCUCCAGAGAACUGCAAUGGACUGCACCUCACCUCUCCUGGAUCCUGUAACCAAUCCCUUUGCUGGUUGUAAGUUUACCCAAAAUAAACCUCUUUGACUAUCAGAUCAA
Molecule: non-coding RNA, 860 nt
Organism: Peromyscus maniculatus bairdii (prairie deer mouse)
Lineage: Eukaryota; Metazoa; Chordata; Mammalia; Rodentia; Cricetidae
Source: RefSeq, a predicted model, not a curated record